This 2630-nucleotide long non-coding RNA is filed under the name Citrus maxima (pomelo). RNAcentral describes it as "long non-coding RNA (CMAX_LNC002173)". The record is from RNAcentral. Lineage: Eukaryota; Viridiplantae; Streptophyta; Magnoliopsida; Sapindales; Rutaceae.
UUUUGGAUUAAUUUCAUCAGAGAUUGUAAAUGAAACCCAUAAACAAAGGCAUCUCAAACUUUGUAAUUACAAAAAAAAAAAAAAAAGCGUAAAGAAGAGAGUUGGCGGGUGCACGCCAUACGCGAAUUAAUUUUCACCAUCAUCUUCCACCAUAUGUCGUGAGCAAUGGAGGCUUUCCCUCCCCAUUACAAUUACAAAAAAGGUGUCGACCUGUGUCACACCCCCAUCCAAGAAGUGAGCUAAAAAUUAUGAAACUCCAAAGCACUGUCUAAGCAGAGCACACAAACUACUUCCAGCAUCAUCAUUAACAAAAUACUUGAAAAAAGCAAGGCAUGAGCUAUUAGCCCAUACACUUUUAAGCAUAAUGAUUCUAAUCACAUCUCAUUUAACCACGAGGCCAUGAAAACAUACUCAAAGAUUCCAAAAGAAAAUUGACAUUUAAACACAUAAGAAUCAAUCUUAAGAAUCCAUCAAUUUUGCAAUCAACCGAAAAAAAGUCAAUCUCUGAUCUAUAAGACCAAACUUCAAAGUCUAUAAUUUCAAUGAUCAAAUAACAAAUGAUGUACAAAUAAAAUUCAUGGAAAUCUAUAGAAACCUUUGGCAUUAUUUUAGACCAUGUAAUAAGGACAGGCCUUGUUCAAUAAUCCCUUUAAAUUAUUGGGUUGGUUCAAUUACUAUACAAAUUUGCAGAUAUAAUCUAGACAUGUAAAGCACCUAGAAUAUAACAUCUUAGCUCAAAUUUAGUUACAUUUAUUACUAUUUCUAUGACCCAAUGCAGAGUUACAGAAAACUGGUUUAUUGACAGGAAACGCCAACAACCUAAGCUUCUGAUUUUCUUUAAAAAUUCAAUACUAUUCAGAAUAUUGUGAAAACUUCCAAAAUAUUAUUAGACACAACAUAUAAAAUUUUCAAGCCAUUUGGACAACUCCAUAAUUGGUUCUACUAAACAAAUCAAAACUGCCUUUUUAAUUCACACAAAAACAGCUGAGCUUUGGUGAUUUAUUAAAAUUAAAAUACUCAAUAUGUUGGGAUCAAAAUUCCCAGAACAUAAUUACACAUAUAACUUGAUAACAUAUUAAAAGUUCAAGACAUUCUGAUAUCAUUAAGCUAAUGUUUCAUAAGAUCAAACACAAGUGAAUAGUUCUGUCAAGGGGUUUACGGCUAAAGUAGUGGAAUUUGAAAAAUCAUAAAAAACAAAAGAGAACCAGAUGUUCAAUUACCAAGGAACUUUCAACAUUUAAAAUACAUUUAAAAUAGACUUAUUGAAGUUUAAUAUCUCAAAAUUUUAGCUCAUGUUGACACCAAUAGAUUAUUCGUUUAUAACACCAAACAUGGUACAUACACAGUUUUUGAUAAAUUCCAACAGCAACUGACCAAUUUGACAAAUCCAUUAAAAAUCAACUAUUAGUUCAAUUCAUUCCAAAAUGUCCAGACUUGAAAUAUACAAUCCGGCUUUUAUUACUCAAAAUUUUGAAGCGAAUCUAGCAUCAUUUAGUCAUAUUUUGAAACAAUCAAAGUUAUGAUAACAGUCCAACAAUCUUUAAAUUUUCUGCAAAAUCAAUAAACUAUUUAUUAUCUUUUCAGUUCAAUAAUCAAUUUUCUAGCAAAAUUAGACAUGCAAAACCAACAACCACCUUACUUUUCAGUUUUGAGAUAACAAAACAUCAAUUGCACCAAGUUACCUACCUAAAUCACAAGCUUUAACUUCCUGGCCUCUUAAUAAAGCUUUCUGUCACCUUUGCAAGUAUUAACUUCAGUCCUCACAUUACCAAAAAGCCUACCCAAAAUCAAAAGAAAAAAAAAUGAUAAUCAAUCACACUUCCGUUAUACAAAGUCAUAAGAGCUUAUUUAAAAAUUGAGGCGUUUCACCUCUUAACGAAUAGCUCAACUCCAAACUUCCAAUCUAUAGCACUACAUAAUUGAAACAUACCACCACGGAUCAACAAAUAACCCAAAAAAUUGCUAAGACUUUCAAUUAAAAAUAAAAGCUGGUGAUUAUAUAGCAUCAAUAUAUAGAAUUAAAUCAUCAAGCAACAGUAUAUGAUGGUGAGUCUCUAGAAACAUCAAUAAAAAUUUCUAAAAAACGGCAAAAAACAACUUAAAAGUAAUAUAAUGAAUAUCAACACAUAUAAAAUAAGAUUGGUCAAAAAAUUAAAAAUAAAAGAAAAAGAAGCUGAAUGGAUAAAUCUUUACAAAAUUUGUGAGGAGUACCGAUUUUUAGUAUUCCGAACAAUGAGUGUGGAGCUCAAAACGAGCAAACAACACCGAAAACCAAACAAGAAAAAUUAGUAUAUCAAGAGAAAAAUAACACCUAAUAAAAAACCAAAUCUCAAAAAAUUAACCCAAAAAAAAAAAACUAACUUGCUUUGAGGGUUUACGCUGGUAGCUUUAGGCAGCUCACGCGGCAACGAUUUCGGCCAAAGCCAGGAUGACGGCAAUGAAGGUUGAAGAACCGGUGACAGGCAGUUCUUACGGCAACCGUACGACAGAAAUGAUGGUGGACGGUGGGAAAAGCAACAACUGACGUGAUAACAGCUUUGCCUUUCUCUAGCUCUCGUAUACAAACUAAAUACUUGGGUAGAUGGAUCUCAUUGGUUGAUUGGUGUGAGAGAGAAUGGAUUUGGUUUUAG